GACUGAGGACAGGGGCUGCAUGCAUCCAGCUGUGGCACCAGUUAACUGUGUGUGUAGUAGUGGCUAAGAGCCAGGGAAGCAGUUAUUUGGGUACAGUCCAGUGCAAAGGCAGCUAAGCAGUGUGGGGCUGGAUGAGGGACAAGCUCAGCUUGCUAGCUGUGGCUCUCUCAAAGCUCCAGGCAGUCAGUUUUUAUUUUGGGCAGAGGACUGAAUGAAUCACUUCAAAGUCAGCCCUCAGCUGUCAGGAACAGACACUGGUUUACCUCAGUUUCCCCUGCCUCCUGUCCCCUUGCACCAGACGGCAGGAAUUAGAUAACUGUUGAGGCAUCCUCAGUGUGCAUCUGUAGCAUUUUCCUUAGGAUUAUAUUCUGCUUCGUAGCCCUGUGUGUGUUGCUGAGACUCGGUUGGCCUACUGCUUCCUUUUGAUUUUUUACUUUGGAAAAGAACGUCAUAUUUGCAAGGGACCAGACUAGUGCAUGACUUCUGGUCCUCCACUUGGUCAUAGUAUUUACCAGUUUGUCCCUCUCUUCCUUCCCUUCUCCCUCCCCCUUCCUGGUCCCUUUUAUCCUCUCCUCCUUCCCACCCCCUCCUGCCCCCAUCCCUUCUGUGUAUGUUCUAAGUGUCCUUCUGAACCGUUGGAGAGGCUGUAGCCUAAUAUCACCUUCCUCCUUAAAUAUCCACAUUUCCAGUAUCUGCAGCGUGGGUCCUCUGUAUAUCACCUGUCUGGCAGGGCAAAGAAGGCAGCUCCUCCUGCUAUUUAAUCCUUCCAGGUCCACAUUCUUACCUGUCUCCAGAUCCUUCCCAGGUGUGGUCUAACUCGGGAUCUUCCUCACUUUUCCAUGUUCCUAUCCAUCUUGACCUCUGCAGACUCUGCCUUGGACCCCCAUACUCUGGUCAUGAGUAGUCCUGCUGCCCAACUGCAUUCUGGGCUGGGGGAGGGUGCAGAGGCCAGAAGCCUAAUCUUUGGGUAGGGAUGUGGCACACUACAGGCAGUGGAGCCUCUCCUGGGCUGAAAUUCAGGCUUCCUCUCUGCUCCAGGAAGGAGGGGCUCCAACAGGUAUCUAUCAUCCAGGGUUCUAGUCAGGUGCUGUCCAGACUGGAUGUGGUGAACCUGGCCAGUAUGUCUUCUGACCAGGGUUCCCCUUCUUUUGCAAUAACUUUUAUGCUUUUUGUUUUCCUUGGAAAAAAAACUUUUCUAAAAGUUGAAGUCUCAAGCCAGUUAGUGGUGGUGCACGCCUUUAAUCCCAGCACUCAGGAGGCAGAGGCAGGUGGAUGUCUGUAAAUUACAAGCCAGCCUGGUUUACAAAGUGAGUUCCAGGCCGGCCAAGGCUACACAGAGAAACCCUGUAUGGGAAAACCAAACCAAGCCAAAACAAAACAGCAACAACAACUGAAAGAGCUGAGGUCUCAUAAUGUUUUCUAAAAGUAAGGAAAUUUCGAAGUGGGACUUGCCAUGCAAGUCUGCUGAACUGAGCCUGGUCCCCAGAAUCCACACAUGGUGGUGGGGGGGCGGGGGCAAGCCAGAGGAGUUGACCCCUGGCUUCCACAUGUGCAUCACAUACAGCGAUAAUCUAUUUUUUUUAUUUUAAAAGUAAGCAAUCACAAAAUGACUCCCAUAGAUCCAUCUCCUGCUCAACAAACGCCCCGUCUGUCUCUUGCCUGAAUUUAAACAUUUUCACUCUUGAGUUAAUUUCGGACUUAGAGGAAAGUCACAACACCACUCUGUUACACCCUUUUCCAGAGCCCCUUUAUGGCACAGGUGCUCUGCUUCAUUUGGCUUGUGUUUUGUAAAAAUUUGGUUUAGCUAUUUUGUUGUGACAAAAUACACACAGCUGAAAAAUGUAUGAUUAUGACUAUUUUAACUGGCCAGCUGAGAUAGUGGUUCUCAACAUGUGGGUCACGACCUCUUUGGGGUGAAGUAACCCUCUCACAGGGGUUUCCUAAGACCAUCGGAAAACAAGAUAUUUACAUUAUGAUUCAUAAGAGUAGCAAAAUUACAGUUAUGAAAUAGCAACAAAAAAUUUAUGGUUGGGGGUCACCACAGCACGAGGAACUGCAUUAAAGGGUGGAGGUGUUGGUGAGGUUGCUAACCAAUGAAAGUUUUGAGGACAUUCACACAUUUUGCAAAUACCCUGAGUUUCAGCCUUUUUUCUUCUUCUUAACUUCACAGGGAAACUCUAUACCUGCUUGCUUAUGUGUUUUAAUUUAUGCUGUUAAAUACUGAAUGGUGCUUUUAGAAAUGCCAGCUCUAUUCACACACGCAUUUCAUGUGUGUACGUGUGUGCACACACAUGCGUGCUUGAGACAAAACCUUGCUGUUUAGUCCAGGCUGACCAUAAAAUUACAGUUCUGCUACCUCAGUCUCCCAAGUGCUGAAAUCACAGUCAGGUUUAUUUUGUGUUUGUUUGUUUAAUCGUUGAGACAAAUAUUGCUAUGUAGCCCUGGCUAGCCUAAAACUUUCUAUGGAGACCAGGCUGGCCUCAAACUUGCAGCAAUCCCCUGGCCUCUGCCUCCUGAGUGCUGAGAUUCAAGUGUGUGCCACAGUGCUGGCUAAUUUCUGGUGAAUUCUUUCACAGCAGAUUGCAACUCUAUUUCUCGGACAUCAGCAUAUAGGGACACCCUCUUCUGUGCACCGAGUUCCCCCUCUUACGACCACAGCAUGAGCGUCACCUCCAGGAAAUUCAUUUGUGUUAGGUGUUGGGGCAUUGAGCCCAGUUUUUGCAGAGUGGGCAGAAACUUCACUGUGGCCAGCCUAGGAAAGUUUUGUUUUGUUUUUAGUGGGGAUUGUUUUGUCUGUUCAUUUGAGACAGGUCUUCACUCUAUAACCCAGGCUGGCCUGGAACUCACUAUGUAGUCCAGGCUAGCCUUGAACUUGCAGCAGCUUCCCUGCCUCAGCCUCUUGAGUGCUAGAAUUACAAGUGUGAGCCACCACCCCCACAUGUAGUCCCUCCCUCUCUCUCUCUCUCUCUCUCUCUCUCUCUCUCUCUCUCUCUCUCUCUCUCUCUCUCUCAUUUUUUUGAGACAGGAUUUCUCUGUGUAGCCCUAGCUGUCUUGGAACUCACUCUGUAGACCAGACUGGUCUUGAACUCAGAGAUCCAGCUGCCUAACAUAGUUUUUUUUUUUUAUAGCUUCUAUUUUUUUAAACUUUAUAUGUGUGGAUUUUGCCUAUAUGCAAGUCUGUACUCCAAGUGUGUGCCUGGUGCCUACAGAGGUCAGAGGGCAUCAGAUUCUCUGAAACUGGAUUUACAGAUGGUUGUGAACCCCUAUAGGAAUGCUGGGAAUGAAUCCAUGUCCUCUGGAAGAGUAGCCUGUGCUCUUAACCCCUGAACCAUCUCUCUAACCCCAACUGUCCAAGUAUUUAAACAAUUUUUGUGAUGUUUAUUGUAUGUGUAUGAGUGUUCUGUCUGCAUGUAUGUCUGUGCAUUGUGUGCCCACAGAGGCUAGAAGAAGGGUGUAGGAUCUGCUGGAACUGGAGUUAUAGAUGGUUGUGAGCUCCCAUGUGGGUGCUGAGAAUCAAACCCAGGUUCUGAGCCAUCUUUCCAGCUCUGUUGUCCAAGUUUUUACGAAAAUGAUUGUGGGGUCUGUUUGUUGGUUGGUUGGUUGGUU
This is a long non-coding RNA of Peromyscus californicus insignis, 3606 nucleotides long. RefSeq lists it as uncharacterized. The record is from RefSeq and is a predicted model, not a curated record. Lineage: Eukaryota; Metazoa; Chordata; Mammalia; Rodentia; Cricetidae. The transcript is spliced from 2 exons.